UACGUAGGGGGCGAGCGUUGUCCGGAUUUAUUGGGCGUAAAGAGCUCGUAGGCGGCUUGGCAAGUCGGGUGUGAAACCUCCAGCUCAACCUGGAGACGCCACUCCGAUACUGCCAUGGCUAGAGUCCGGUAGGGGACCACGGAAGUUCCUGGUGAGCGGUGAAAUGCGCAGAUAAUCAGGAGGAACACCAAUAGCGAAGGCAGCUCGCUGGGACGGUACUGACGCUGGAGACGCGAAAGCGUGGGGAGCGAACAGG
RNAcentral lists this ribosomal RNA (256 nucleotides) under uncultured bacterium. RNAcentral describes it as "partial 16S ribosomal RNA". It matches the Rfam family "Bacterial small subunit ribosomal RNA", at positions 524 to 776 of the family's 1533-position model. The record is from RNAcentral.